CCUACGGGGCGCUGCAGUGGGGAAUAUUGGACAAUGGGCGAAAGCCUGAUCCAGCCAUGCCGCGUGUGUGAAGAAGGCCUUCGGGUUGUAAAGCACUUUCAGUGGGGAAGAAAGUCUUGGGGCUAAUACCCUCGAGGAAGGACAUCACCCACAGAAGAAGCACCGGCUAACUCCGUGCCAGCAGCCGCGGUAAUACGGAGGGUGCGAGCGUUAAUCGGAAUUACUGGGCGUAAAGCGCGCGUAGGCGGUCUGAUAAGCCGGUUGUGAAAGCCCCGGGCUCAACCUGGGAACGGCAUCCGGAACUGUCAGGCUAGAGUGCAGGAGAGGAAGGUAGAAUUCCCGGUGUAGCGGUGACAUGCGUAGAGAUCGGGAGGAAUACCAGUGGCGAAGGCGGCCUUCUGGACUGACACUGACGCUGAGGUGCGAAAGCGUGGGUAGCAAACAGGAUUAGAUACCCGAGUAGUC
This 465-nucleotide ribosomal RNA is filed under the name Vreelandella stevensii. Its description in RNAcentral is "partial 16S ribosomal RNA". It matches the Rfam family "Bacterial small subunit ribosomal RNA", at positions 338 to 795 of the family's 1533-position model. The record is from RNAcentral. Lineage: Bacteria; Pseudomonadati; Pseudomonadota; Gammaproteobacteria; Oceanospirillales; Halomonadaceae.